AGUAAAGUCAGCUAAAUAAGCUCUUGGGCCCAUACCCCAACUAUGUAGGUUCGAAUCCUUCCUUUACUA
This 69-nucleotide transfer RNA is filed under the name Paralichthys dentatus (summer flounder). Its description in RNAcentral is "tRNA-Met". It matches the Rfam family "tRNA". From Rfam's summary of the family: Transfer RNA (tRNA) molecules are approximately 80 nucleotides in length. Their secondary structure includes four short double-helical elements and three loops (D, anti-codon, and T loops). Lineage: Eukaryota; Metazoa; Chordata; Actinopteri; Pleuronectiformes; Paralichthyidae. The record is from RNAcentral.